GACGAACGCUGGCGGCGUGCUUAACACAUGCAAGUCGAACGAGAUCCAAUGUGUAGCAAUACACAGGAAGAUCUAGUGGCGAACGGGUGAGGAACACGUGAGAAACGUACCCCAGACUUUGGGAUAACAGUCCGAAAGGACUGCUAAUACCAAAUAACGUCGGAAGUCCGCAUGGACAUCUGACGAAAGGGAUUCCGGUUUGGGAGCGUCUCGCGGACCUAUCAGCUAGUUGGAGGGGUAACGGCCCACCAAGGCAACGACGGGUAGCUGGUCUGAGAGGAUGGUCAGCGACACUGGGACUGAGACACGGCCCAGACUCCUACGGGAGGCAGCAGUGGGGAAUCUUGCGCAAUGGGCGAAAGCCUGACGCAGCAACGCCGCGUGCGGGAAGAAGGCUUUCGGGCUGUAAACCGCUUUCAGUAGGAACGAAACUGACGGUACCUACAGAAGAAGGAGCGGCCAACUAUGU
RNAcentral lists this ribosomal RNA (469 nucleotides) under uncultured bacterium. RNAcentral describes it as "partial 16S ribosomal RNA". It matches the Rfam family "Bacterial small subunit ribosomal RNA", at positions 28 to 506 of the family's 1533-position model. The record is from RNAcentral.